GGGUAGAAUUCCAGGUGUAGCGGUGAAAUGCGUAGAGAUCUGGAGGAAUACCGGUGGCGAAGGCGGCCCCCUGGACGAAGACUGACGCUCAGGUGCGAAAGCGUGGGGAGCAAACAGGAUUAGAUACCCUGGUAGUCCACGCCGUAAACGAUGUCGACUUGGAGGUUGUGCCCUUGAGGCGUGGCUUCCGGAGCUAACGCGUUAAGUCGACCGCCUGGGGAGUACGGCCGCAAGGUUAAAACUCAAAUGAAUUGACGGGGGCCCGCACAAGCGGGGGAGCAUGUGGUUUAAUUCGAUGCAACGCGAAGAACCUUACCUGGUCUU
Molecule: ribosomal RNA, 324 nt
Filed under: Escherichia coli
Lineage: Bacteria; Pseudomonadati; Pseudomonadota; Gammaproteobacteria; Enterobacterales; Enterobacteriaceae
Description: bacterial SSU rRNA
Rfam family: Bacterial small subunit ribosomal RNA
Source: RNAcentral